AUGGUGUUGCUUGACAUUAGGGGUAUGUUGCAGUCUAUGGGUAAAGACAUUAUUGAUUUCGCUCUUCCAACAAUCGAUGAUGCAUUUGACCCAACCGAGGGCGAGGCCAGAGAGAUCAUCGAGGAAUCAACUAUUGAGUUUGACGAAAGUGACACUAAAUUGUCAUCUUCCCUGAAUUUUGAGCAAAGGGCUGCAUACGACGAGAUACUAGCGGCUGUUGAACGCGGUGAUUGGGGUAUAUUCUUUGUUGAUGGCCCUGGAGGUACGGGGAAGACCUUCCUAUACAGGGCGAUGCUCACCAAGGUGAGGGGCGAGGGCAAGAUUGCUAUCGCUAACGCGACGUCGGGCGUCGCUGCUUCUAUCAUGCCUGGCGGCAGGACUGCCCACUCGAGGUUCAAAAUCCCAUUGAGUUGCGAUGAUGGAGCCUCGUGCAGCUUCACCAAGUAG
This 447-nucleotide ribosomal RNA is filed under the name Triticum aestivum (bread wheat). Its description in RNAcentral is "partial small subunit ribosomal RNA". Lineage: Eukaryota; Viridiplantae; Streptophyta; Magnoliopsida; Poales; Poaceae. The record is from RNAcentral.